Dictyoglomus turgidum DSM 6724 is the source of this 114-nucleotide non-coding RNA. The record is from Rfam. Lineage: Bacteria; Pseudomonadati; Dictyoglomota; Dictyoglomia; Dictyoglomales; Dictyoglomaceae.
GGUUCCUUUAAUUUAGCCCAGUGAGGCUAAGAAGGAGGAAAAUUGAUUAAAAGAUAUAUAGUUAAGGUAAAUAAGGCGGGUAUAUCCAUGAAAGUGGGUAUACCCGCCUUUUUU